NNAUGUAAGGACAAUCUGGCUGUGACAUCUGUCACCAUAUUGGUCACCAGGGUUGAUUUGGCUGAUCUGGCAGGUGAGGCAGGUAUCACCUUCUUCCCUCACUGCUACAUGUGCAUUCCUCCCAAAGAUGCACACUUGAUGGACGAGGAUGACCACUCUGAUAGAGGGGGACUGUUUCCUUGAUCAAAGGGAUAGGAGUCGCUGCGCUCCCCUGCUGGAACCUCCAAAUAAGCUCUCUAGUUUUAUGAUAGUAACUCCCUCUCUAUACUAAUUUGUAAAUGUUGUAUAAAGAAUUU
Molecule: unclassified non-coding RNA, 296 nt
Organism: Cavia aperea (Brazilian guinea pig)
Lineage: Eukaryota; Metazoa; Chordata; Mammalia; Rodentia; Caviidae
Gene: 7SK
Rfam family: 7SK RNA
About the family: 7SK was discovered as an abundant small nuclear RNA in the mid-70s but a possible function has only recently been suggested. Two independent studies have found that 7SK RNA binds the CDK9/cyclin T complex (known as elongation factor P-TEFb).
Source: Ensembl